AUUGAACGCUGGCGGCAUGCCUUACACAUGCAAGUCGAACGGCAGCGGGCCCUUCGGGGUGCCGGCGAGUGGCGAACGGGUGAGUAAUGCAUCGGAACGUACCCGGGAGAGGGGGUUAACCGACCGAAAGGCUGGCUAAUACCGCAUGAACUCGGAAGAGCAAAGCGGGGGACCUUCGGGCCCCGCGCUCUCGGAGCGGCCGAUGUCCGAUUAGGCUAGUUGGUGGGGUAAAGGCCCACCAAGGCGACGAUCGGUAGCGGGUCUGAGAGGACGAUCCGCCACACUGGGACUGAGACACGGCCCAGACUCCUACGGGAGGCAGCAGUGGGGAAUCUUGGACAAUGGGCGCAAGCCUGAUCCAGCAAUGCCGCGUGGGUGAAGAAGGCCUUCGGGUUGUAAAGCCCUUUCGGCGGGGAAGAAAUCGGUCAGGCGAAUAGUCUGGCUGGAUGACGGUACCCGCAGAAGAAGCACCGGCUAACUACGUG
RNAcentral lists this ribosomal RNA (485 nucleotides) under uncultured bacterium. RNAcentral's name for it is "partial 16S ribosomal RNA". It matches the Rfam family "Bacterial small subunit ribosomal RNA", at positions 28 to 507 of the family's 1533-position model. The record is from RNAcentral.